Molecule: ribosomal RNA, 524 nt
Filed under: Fusarium solani
Lineage: Eukaryota; Fungi; Ascomycota; Sordariomycetes; Hypocreales; Nectriaceae
Description: eukaryotic LSU rRNA
Rfam family: 5.8S ribosomal RNA (bases 138-291)
Source: RNAcentral
UCUCAUCACCCUGUGACAUACCUAUAACGUUGCCUCGGCGGGAACAGACGGCCCCGUAACACGGGCCGCCCCCGCCAGAGGACCCCCUAACUCUGUUUCUAUAAUGUUUCUUCUGAGUAAACAAGCAAAUAAAUUAAAACUUUCAACAACGGAUCUCUUGGCUCUGGCAUCGAUGAAGAACGCAGCGAAAUGCGAUAAGUAAUGUGAAUUGCAGAAUUCAGUGAAUCAUCGAAUCUUUGAACGCACAUUGCGCCCGCCAGUAUUCUGGCGGGCAUGCCUGUUCGAGCGUCAUUACAACCCUCAGGCCCCCGGGCCUGGCGUUGGGGAUCGGCGGAAGCCCCCUGCGGGCACAACGCCGUCCCCCAAAUACAGUGGCGGUCCCGCCGCAGCUUCCAUUGCGUAGUAGCUAACACCUCGCAACUGGAGAGCGGCGCGGCCACGCCGUAAAACACCCAACUUCUGAAUGUUGACCUCGAAUCAGGUAGGAAUACCCGCUGAACUUAAGCAUAUCAAUAAGCGGAGGA